GCAGCACUCCAGCGAGGAUCAUGGCGGCUGCGAUACCGAGCACCCAGUUGGGAUAUGGUGUCUUCUCAACGCGACCCUGUAAAUACAUGAAGUGAUUGUAAACGCACGGAGACCUCUACAUCGCUACGCCGUAGCCCGUAGCCCGUAGCUGCAUAGACCGCACAAAAUCAAUACUCGGCCGGGAGCAAAGGUACUCCAAGGAGAAAGACAGAGAUGAGAGAUGUUUUCACAGUUAAGCCAAAGAACAACUUCGAAAAUGACCUUUGAGAGCUGGGUGAAGAUUGGGCAUAAUCGGUAAUUCCGGCGCGUCUAUACCAGGGAAGUUCCGGAGAGGCUAGUCCUUUCCCAGAGGAGGUGAUGCUUAGUUGGCUAGCGCAAACGUGGACGCGGAGGAGUGCUGACAGAGUACCCAUAGCCCCGCCAUCAUGCGUAGCAGGAACCAGAGGUGGUUUGUUGGGUACGUGCCCGCCUUAUCUAUUGUUUACUUUAUAGACUGACUAGCUAUUGCCCGCGAUUUCGUUCACGUGAAAUUAUAAAAUAAUUAAAAAU
Papilio polytes (common Mormon) is the source of this 549-nucleotide long non-coding RNA. RefSeq lists it as uncharacterized. The transcript is spliced from 5 exons. NCBI's taxonomy places the organism in Eukaryota, Metazoa, Arthropoda, Insecta, Lepidoptera, Papilionidae. The record is from RefSeq and is a predicted model, not a curated record.